UUUUUUAACGUUUUAUCAUAACUUACAUUGGAUUAUACCUAUAACACAUCUUUCAAGGAUUUACAUCCCUUGUGAAGUUGCUUGAAAGUAUAAAAAUUGAAAUUUUUGACUUUUUUGCCGGCAUUUUGAAACCGGAAGUCACCUUUAGUUUCAUUAAUGUAUUGUCUAGUCGUAAUUUAGGAACUGUCAUUUACUUUUUAUCAAAUCUAACAUUGGAUUUUACAUAUAAC
RNAcentral lists this long non-coding RNA (230 nucleotides) under Mytilus galloprovincialis (Mediterranean mussel). Lineage: Eukaryota; Metazoa; Mollusca; Bivalvia; Mytilida; Mytilidae. The record is from RNAcentral.